UCUCUAACCUAGGGCGUACAGAUGGCCUUCGGGACACUGUGGAUCUCCUGAAGUCAUUUCUGCACCUUGCUUGUGUCAGCUUGCAUUUUAGCAGAGACAGCAGUGAUCAGGCCUUCCAGGGAGUCUACACUGGAAAAAGAGAAUGCCACUCCCCCCACAGGUUUUUUAAAAAUUCAGCUAAAGAAGAAAAACCAUGUGAUUUAUCAAUGGGUGAAGAAAAGCAUGAGACAGAAUUCCAUACCCAUUUAUGACAAAAACUCUCAGCAAACCAGGAACAGAAGGGAACUUCCUCAACUUGACAAAGAGCAUCUGCCAACGACCCACAGCUCGUCUCAGCCCACUUGAUGAUUUCAGAGGUCCGCAGCAGGUGAGGCCCUGGAGUGCAUUUUAACGGGUGCUUCUACAGUGAGAAGUGCUCUGAGCCAGCUCGUUCACAAAAUAUGCAGGAGCGAAGUUGAGCAUGAAGGAGAAACGAUAGAAACACUCACAGGCACGCGGAGCAGACAACUACAGCCGACCCGUAGACUCACCCAGCGCCAGCCGCCGUGGGCUCGCUGUCCCGCUGGGAGGUCGAACACUUAGAUCCUCCCUUUCCUGACUCAGAUUUGACUUUUAAAUUCGUUUGCUCUCACCUGUUAUGUGGCCAGGCUUAUUAAUGCUUACAUGACCAGGCGAAUCUUUGUAAUCAGUGUCUGUUGACUUCCUGGUUUAAAUGCUGUGUGAAAAGAGAGCCUUUAUGCUGUUGCACACGCUUAACAAUAAACAUGGUGACUGCUUAAAAGA
Molecule: long non-coding RNA, 783 nt
Organism: Camelus dromedarius (Arabian camel)
Lineage: Eukaryota; Metazoa; Chordata; Mammalia; Artiodactyla; Camelidae
Exons: 4
Source: RefSeq, a predicted model, not a curated record